GAUGAACGCUAGCUACAGGCUUAACACAUGCAAGUCGAGGGGUAACGAGAGGAAAGCUUGCUUUCCUUGUCGACGACCGGCGCACGGGUGAGUAACGCGUAUCCAACCUGCCCCCAACUAGGGAAUAACCUUGCGAAAGUAAGACUAAUACCCUAUAAUUUCCUCAGAUGACAUCUGACGAGGAAUAAAGAUUUAUCGGUUGUGGAUGGGGAUGCGUCUGAUUAGCUUGUUGGCGGGGUAACGGCCCACCAAGGGAACGUUCAGUAGGGGUUCUGAGAGGAAGGUCCCCCACAUUGGAACUGAGACACGGUCCAAACUCCUACGGGAGGCAGCAGUGAGGAAUAUUGGUCAAUGGGCGGAAGCCUGAACCAGCCAAGUAGCGUGCAGGAUGACGGCCCUAUGGGUUGUAAACUGCUUUUAUACAGGAAUAAAGUUAGCCACGUGUGGUUAUUUGUAGGUACUGUAUGAAUAAGGACCGGCUAAUUCCGUGCCAGCCGCCGCCGUAA
RNAcentral lists this ribosomal RNA (506 nucleotides) under uncultured bacterium. RNAcentral describes it as "partial 16S ribosomal RNA". It matches the Rfam family "Bacterial small subunit ribosomal RNA", at positions 28 to 523 of the family's 1533-position model. The record is from RNAcentral.